This 497-nucleotide ribosomal RNA is filed under the name uncultured bacterium. Its description in RNAcentral is "partial 16S ribosomal RNA". It matches the Rfam family "Bacterial small subunit ribosomal RNA", at positions 28 to 507 of the family's 1533-position model. The record is from RNAcentral.
GACGAACGCUGGCGGCGUGCCUAAUACAUGCAAGUUGAGCGCUGAAGGUUGGUACUUGUACCAACUGGAUGAGCAGCGAACGGGUGAGUAACGCGUGGGGAAUCUGCCUUUGAGCGGGGGACAACAUUUGGAAACGAAUGCUAAUACCGCAUAAAAACUUUAAACACAAGUUUUAAGUUUGAAAGAUGCAAUUGCAUCACUCAAAGAUGAUCCCGCGUUGUAUUAGCUAGUUGGUGAGGUAAAGGCUCACCAAGGCGAUGAUACAUAGCCGACCUGAGAGGGUGAUCGGCCACAUUGGGACUGAGACACGGCCCAAACUCCUACGGGAGGCAGCAGUAGGGAAUCUUCGGCAAUGGACGAAAGUCUGACCGAGCAACGCCGCGUGAGUGAAGAAGGUUUUCGGAUCGUAAAACUCUGUUGGUAGAGAAGAACGUUGGUGAGAGUGGAUAGCUCAUCAAGUGACGGUAACUACACAGAAAGGGACGGCUAACUACGUG